AAGACUGUACUUUCAUGGAUCAUUUCUAUAGUUUGUAACUAAAGAAGUGUGGUUGAAAGUGUCUGACCUUGCUAACUAUGAUGAGGAGUUAAAGUGUUCUUUUCUGAGCAUGAAGUGGGUGGAUAGUGGUGCUUUAAUGUAUCUGCUGUCUGCUAGUGAUGAGUGUUCCCACUUUCCUUUUGGGAAGAAGAGAGCACAGACUGAGUGGU
This is a small nucleolar RNA of Mauremys reevesii (Reeves's turtle), 209 nucleotides long. RefSeq annotates it as small nucleolar RNA U3. The transcript has a single exon. The record is from RefSeq and is a predicted model, not a curated record. NCBI's taxonomy places the organism in Eukaryota, Metazoa, Chordata, Testudines, Geoemydidae.